This 73-nucleotide transfer RNA is filed under the name Stegodyphus mimosarum. It matches the Rfam family "tRNA". Rfam says of the family: Transfer RNA (tRNA) molecules are approximately 80 nucleotides in length. Their secondary structure includes four short double-helical elements and three loops (D, anti-codon, and T loops). Further hydrogen bonds mediate the characteristic L-shaped molecular structure. tRNAs have two regions of fundamental functional importance: the anti-codon, which is responsible for specific mRNA codon recognition, and the 3' end, to which the tRNAs corresponding amino acid is attached (by aminoacyl-tRNA synthetases). tRNAs cope with the degeneracy of the genetic code in two manners: having more than one tRNA (with a specific anti-codon) for a particular amino acid; and 'wobble' base-pairing, i.e. permitting non-standard base-pairing at the 3rd anti-codon position. The record is from Rfam by way of RNAcentral. Lineage: Eukaryota; Metazoa; Arthropoda; Arachnida; Araneae; Eresidae.
GCCUUCGUGGUGUAACGGUAGCACGCUUGGCACGUUAUUUUGAAAGGUCCAGGUUAGAGUCCCGGCGAAGGUA